Molecule: ribosomal RNA, 460 nt
Filed under: uncultured bacterium
Lineage: Bacteria
Description: partial 16S ribosomal RNA
Rfam family: Bacterial small subunit ribosomal RNA
Source: RNAcentral
CCUACGGGUGGCAGCAGUGAGGAAUAUUGGUCAAUGGGCGCGAGCCUGAACCAGCCAAGUAGCGUGAAGGAUGACUGCCCUAAGGGUUGUAAACUUCUUUUAUAAAGGAAUAAAGUGAGGCACGUGUGCCGUUUUGUAUGUACUUUAUGAAUAAGGAUCGGCUAACUCCGUGCCAGCAGCCGCGGUAAUACGGAGGAUCCGAGCGUUAUCCGGAUUUAUUGGGUGUAAAGGGAGCGUAGUUGGGCUGUUAAGUCAGUUGUGAAAGUUUGCGGCUCAACCGUAAAAUUGCAAUUGAUACUGGCAGUCUUGAGUACAGCAGAGGUAGGCGGAAUUCGUGGUGUAGCGGUGAAAUGCUUAGAUAUCACGAAGAACUCCGAUUGCGAAGGCAGCUUACUGAACUGUCACUGACGUUGAUGCUCGAAAGUGUGGGUAUCAAACAGGAUUAGAUACCCGUGUAGUC